CAGGCGGUCGAGGCCCCGGCGGCCGCCCCGCGCCCUGCAGCGCAGGAAAGGGCUCCUAAAAAAUAAAGAAAAAGAAAAAUUAAAAAAAAAGAAAAGAAAAAGCAUUACUGUCAAGCGACGGGCGAGGCGAGCCGGGAUUCCCGCGAGCAGCCAGAGCCUUUUUUAUUCGCGUCCUUCGGGUGCCGCGGGGGCGCCUUCUGCCCGCGCCGGUGCACGGGCGAAAUAGCGAAUAAAAAGGGGAUCGGCGUCCGCGCGCGCUCAUCCACGGGAGAGUCAAGCGUGCAACGAGUGCAAAUAGCCUUCCGGGGAGGGGAAACUACUGUGAGGCGUGACUGCGGUGUGCCCGGCCGGUGCUCGCAGCAGACUUCGACAGUCCCGUCGUUUGGAGUAAACGCUGCUUGCUUUCCCCUGUUUUUGAUGGCUUCAGGUCCAGAGGCCUCAACAGAAAGAAGACUCCCCAGUACCAAUCAUGAGAUGCUUGAGGGUGCCGACAUGUAUGAAGGAAAAUGCUUUCAAGCAGUUACAAGAAGUUAACUGUCUCAGCUCUUUCCAGAUAAAUUAGAGAAGAUGAAGAAUGUCUCUGAUUUAUAUCAGCUGCCAAUUGCCUUACACAAUUAAAGCAUGCAGGGAAGUACCACUGUGCUCUACGGUCCGCCAGGCACAGCCUGCCAUGGGGAUCUGCGCUCGAUGCUGCACGCGGGGAACUGAACAAGCAGUGUGCUCUACCUUGAGUCCUCGUGGGUAUCCAGGCUUACAGCAGUCUUGUGAGCAUCUCCUGUAAGGUUUUCUGAGUUUGUCAUCUGGGAUUGUACUAUCCAUAUACAGGAGCAGGAUUCUGUUUAUAGACUCUCAGCUUUGGUUUGGAGCUUUAAUAUCCGGGAGCGCAAGUAUCUCUUUCUCUCCACCUCAGCUCAUCUCAGAGCCUAUGUGCUCCAAGAUAGCACAGAGGGGCUCCUGUAAAGUCAAAAAAUGAUACGGCGGAAAAGGCACUCUCUCACUUCCUUCUCUCUUUUCCUUUGCAAAAAUUGUCUGGUUUCUCUGGCAGAGGAGAUGGGGAAGUCCUUUCAUUGUGUACUUAAUACAGUAAAUAUUUAUUAGAUGGUGAAAAUAAGCAAGCUAACUCCCUUAAAAUCUAUUUUCACAUUUACAUUUGUUUGAAGGAAAAUUUCUCUGAAACAUAACAGGAAAUGAAAUAGCAAUGCCCUCUUCCAUGUACAUUUAUUUCUUUGUAAGUAAAUUCAUCUAUUUACAUGCAUAUGUAUACAUAAUGAAGGAUAAUAAUGUAUAUACAUAAUAAAGGAUACUAAUGC
This 1310-nucleotide long non-coding RNA is filed under the name Struthio camelus australis. RNAcentral describes it as "lncRNA (ENSSCUG00000010823.1)". Lineage: Eukaryota; Metazoa; Chordata; Aves; Struthioniformes; Struthionidae. The record is from RNAcentral.